AGUUAAUGAACUUGAAUAAGUAAAUGUUUUGAAAACAUUAAAUAGAUAAAUUAAUAUCUAUUAACUU
RNAcentral lists this transfer RNA (67 nucleotides) under Megaspilidae sp. SJW-2015. Its description in RNAcentral is "tRNA-Ser". RNAcentral also lists the same sequence under 1 other name. Lineage: Eukaryota; Metazoa; Arthropoda; Insecta; Hymenoptera; Megaspilidae. The record is from RNAcentral.